Molecule: ribosomal RNA, 262 nt
Filed under: uncultured bacterium
Lineage: Bacteria
Description: partial 16S ribosomal RNA
Rfam family: Bacterial small subunit ribosomal RNA
Source: RNAcentral
AGCAGCCGCGGUAAGACGUAGGGCGCGAGCGUUGUCCGGAUUUAUUGGGUUUAAAGGGUGCGUAGGCGGCCCGUUAAGUCAGCGGUGAAAUCCCGGGGCUCAACCCCGGAACUGCCGUUGAUACUGGCGGGCUUGAGUUCGGUUAAGGCGGGCGGAACUGGUGGUGUAGCGGUGAAAUGCUUAGAUACCACCAAGAACCCCGAUUGCGUAGGCAGCUCGCUGAGCCGAAACUGACGCUGAGGCACGAAAGCGUGGGGAGCGA